AUGUCAUCUGGUCAGGAUACCAUUACCAUAUUUGAAAACCAAAUGGGUUAUCUCCUGGACUCCUUGUCACUUCUCACGUUGGCCAAAGGCCAGGCAGUGCUGGAUUUGUACAGUGGACGUGUUCUGCAGAGCCCUAUUCUCUCUGUCCUCUGAUUUUGAGUACCUGGAUUUACCUCCUCACCACAAGAAAGCACUGGAGGAGAAAUGUAGUGGAAGACCAAAGAAUAUGCCUAAAUUUUUAAAGAAGUCAUUAUGGAAAAUAUAAUUCUGGACUUUAAGACCUUUUUAUACAGUGGUAGCUAUAAUAAGUACAGUGAGAAUUUUUAAAAAACUUAAUAUAUGAUAAUAGAUGUAAUACAACAACAAAAUAGACAAUUACUAUUAUUAGGAUGUUUAGAUAACUUUAGAAUUAA
Molecule: long non-coding RNA, 413 nt
Filed under: Monodelphis domestica (gray short-tailed opossum)
Lineage: Eukaryota; Metazoa; Chordata; Mammalia; Didelphimorphia; Didelphidae
Description: lncRNA (ENSMODG00000030063.2)
Source: RNAcentral